AAGCUAUUUUUAUUUGAGAACUAAUAAUGAGUGCUGCCUAAAUGAACAACGGAGAAUUAAAAUGGGAGAACAAAUGGAAAAAAAAGGUAGAAGGAGACAUUCAGAUCAGGUACAAGAUAAUAACAAAGUCUUUCAGGAGACAGACUAUUCUAGAUACAGUUUGAAGACAAAUGUUAACUAAGAGGAAGAAAAUCCCUGCUUACCAAGAAAACACAAGGUUUUGAACUAAAUGUUUCUUUUUCUAAGAUUAACCAAAUGAAAUCUGAUUUAAGGCAGCAACUGUGAGUGCUGACAGGUAUGGCUGGAGUUGUAUAUGGAAGCAGGAGUGUGGUAGCAUUUGGGAUGACCCUCUCCGGAAAUGGCCCUGGUCCUGCCUUGCAUCUCCGAAUGAUCUAGCUGAGGUUUUAAGACAGAUCAUUUUUGAAAAACACUGGCAUCUUUUUAUUGAAAAAAACCCCCUCAAAAAUCCCUAAAAAAACCCCAACCACUGAACCCUCAGAGUUGCGGGUUUUCUCAUAAAGAAUCUUUAAGGGGAAUUCUGUGAAAAGGGAUCUUCGCACUUUUCAAAAUUCACACAACACUCUUCUAUUUUUUUUAUUCAGCUCCAACUCUACUAGAGAGGCAGGCACAGAAGAUGCAUUUCACUCGCUGGCCGGCUCUGCGAGUGCUGCUCCACCUGGCUGUCCUGAUGGAGGAAGAAAGACUAGAGCCUCAGCCUGAUGGCAGAAUGGUAGCUAAUGGGGGGGGGGGGUAGGGGCAGAAAAAGCAGGUUAUAGGGACCAAGAGGUGGACAGAGGACACCCCAUCUUACUUCCUGAGACCCCCCCCAGGAGGAACUCUGAAGGAGAAUUCCUCCUGAAGGAGCCUGAUCUAGCACAACUUUGCAUGUUGACUCACAAAACCAGCUAUGGCUUGAAGUUCACCUGCUCCCAGAGUUCAGGAGUUGCUGCCCCUUUUCCUCUCAAGAGCUUUCAUUAGGUCAGACAUGAAAUCUGCUUGCCUGCCUCCACCCCCAAUUGGAGGUGGCCCAGCUGACUGUGGCUCUCCAGCUUGUCCAGUGUUUUCCAGCCUUUUUGAUGGAAGUGGCAGAGGUUUCUUUGUUGGAGGUGGUGGCUUAGUGGAGACAGGUG
Molecule: long non-coding RNA, 1130 nt
Filed under: Strigops habroptila (Kakapo)
Lineage: Eukaryota; Metazoa; Chordata; Aves; Psittaciformes; Psittacidae
Description: lncRNA (ENSSHBG00005001363.1)
Source: RNAcentral